RNAcentral lists this ribosomal RNA (330 nucleotides) under Clostridioides difficile. RNAcentral's name for it is "bacterial SSU rRNA". It matches the Rfam family "Bacterial small subunit ribosomal RNA", at positions 291 to 629 of the family's 1533-position model. The record is from RNAcentral. Lineage: Bacteria; Bacillati; Bacillota; Clostridia; Peptostreptococcales; Peptostreptococcaceae.
CCUACGGGGGGCAGACCCAACUGAAUGGAGCCCUACGGGGGGCUGCAGUGGGGAAUCUUCCGCAAUGGGCGAAAGCCUGACGGAGCAACGCCGCGUGAACGAUGAAGGUCUUAGGAUCGUAAAGUUCUGUUGUUAGGGACGAAGGGUAAGAAUCAUAAUAAGGUUUUUAUUUGACGGUACCUAACGAGGAAGCCACGGCUAACUACGUGCCAGCAGCCGCGGUAAUACGUAGGCGGCAAGCGUUGUCCGGAAUUAUUGGGCGUAAAGGGAGCGCAGGCGGGAAACUAAGCGGAUCUUAAAAGUGCGGGGCUCAACCCCGUGAUGGGGUCC